UGGCGACCGGGUGAGUAACACGUAGCUGACCUGCCCUCGCGCGGGGGACAACAGUUCGAAAGGACUGCUAAUACCGCAUAAUUUGACGCUGCUUAGAAAGGCGUCAAUAAACUUCCGGGGCGCGAGGAGGGAGCUGCGGCCCAUCAGCUAGUUGGUAAGGUAGCGGCUUACCAAGGCACCGACGGGUAGGGGGCCUGAGAGGGUGACCCCCCACACUGGAACAGACAUACGGUCCAG
This 237-nucleotide ribosomal RNA is filed under the name uncultured bacterium. RNAcentral's name for it is "partial 16S ribosomal RNA". It matches the Rfam family "Bacterial small subunit ribosomal RNA", at positions 96 to 334 of the family's 1533-position model. The record is from RNAcentral.